CUCAAUGAAAAUAAAUAGCCGCAACGUCCUUGUGCUAAGGUAGCAUAAUCAUUUGUUUUUUAAUUAAAAACUAGAACGAAAGAUUUAACAUUUUUAUUUCUCUCUUACAUAUAACAAUUAAAAUUAUUUUAAAUAUAAAAAAAUAUUUAUUCAUAAAAAAGACGAUAAGACCCUAUUAAACUUCACUAAAGUUAAACUGGGGUAGUUAAUUAAAUAUUAUUUUAAUUUAAAUUUCAAACAAACCUAAUAUAAUUAAAAUUAUCAAGUUACUAUAGGGAUAACAGCGUAAUAAAUUUUUCAAGCUCUCAUUCAAAAANUCAUUUACGACCUCGAUGUUGAAUUAAUAAUCUAUUAAAUGCAAUAAUUUAAUAAGAAAGUC
This 379-nucleotide ribosomal RNA is filed under the name Spiricoelotes taipingensis. RNAcentral's name for it is "partial 16S ribosomal RNA". The record is from RNAcentral. Lineage: Eukaryota; Metazoa; Arthropoda; Arachnida; Araneae; Agelenidae.